Molecule: ribosomal RNA, 2363 nt
Filed under: Hyperia macrocephala
Lineage: Eukaryota; Metazoa; Arthropoda; Malacostraca; Amphipoda; Hyperiidae
Description: partial 18S ribosomal RNA
Rfam family: Eukaryotic small subunit ribosomal RNA
Source: RNAcentral
CCUACCUGGUUGAUCCUGCCAGUGUCUAUAUGCUUGUUUCAAAGACUAAGCCAUGCAUGCCUAAGUACAGCUCGGUGGGGUAACCUACCGGGCGAAACCGCAGACGGCUCAUUAAAUCAGUUGUGGUCUAAGUGGGCUACAGUUUUCCUUACUUGGAUAACUGUGGAAAAUCCAGAGCUAAUACAUGCGAUUCGAAGUCCUCAGCCAAAGCUUUGCGCUUCGGCGUACGGUGACUAACUGGGGAUGCUUUUAUUAGACCGAGGCGCGCGCACACGUAGCUUUGCGCCCGCUCCGGCGGGAAUGCGGCUGCUUGUGUGUCGCUCGUAAGCGCUUUAUGGUGACUCUGAAUAACAUUGAUAAGCGUGCUUUAACUAGCACGCUGCCUACUUACGAGUGACUGCCCUAUCAGCUACUAACGUAUGUUAUACGCGAACGUUGGCUAUAACGGGUAACGGGGAAUCAGAGUUCGAUUCCGGAGAGGCAGCCUGAGAAACGGCUACCACGUCUAAGGACGGCAGCAGGCACGCAAAUUACCCAAUCCCAGCACAUGGGGGAGGUAGUGACGAUAGAUACUGAUGCGGGUCGUUCUUCGGAACACUCGCAAUUGGAAUGGCUAUUUUCUAAAAACCCUAUCGAGAACCUACUGGAGGGCAAGCCUGGUGCCAGCAGCCGCGGUAAUUCCAGCUCCAGUGGCGUAUGCCAAUGUUGCUGCGGUUAAAAGGCUCGCAGUUGAAUGUCGGUUAAUAUACGCGUAGGGAUGCCGGGACGUUGCAAGCUCUGCUCGCCUCUGUGCAGCAUUGUGAGCUGUCUCUCCAAGUGCAUCUCUGGCGGGCUAACGAUUAGAUCGGUGGCACAGAGUGAGUCGCUCGUCGCGCCAUCCUUUCGGGGUUGGCCGGCGGGUCUCGUUCGCACGUGUCGCCGAUUGACACCUUGAGUAAAUCAGAGUGCUUAAAGCAGUCGUUGAAACACUACGGCUGCGACUUACCCUCUCGCGAGGCACGGGUCGUAUGUCUAUGGUGACGUCGUAAGACGUUUGGACAUUGUCUUUGCUUUGCAUGGUACGUCGGAAGACGCCGUGUGAGUUGGUUGCGCUUACGGUCAGACACACCAGCUGUGUGUGCGCGUGCACCAACGAGCUCGGAAUGAACUGAAAGGGAUGGCUCGAAGGCAUUGGUAUUGCGGGGCGAGAGGUGAAAUUCUAUGACCCCCGCAAGACUUCCCGAAGCGAAAGCGUCUGCCUAGGACGUCUUCAUUAAUCAUGAACGAAAGUUGAAGGAUCGAAGGCGAUCAGAUACCGCCCUAGUUGCAACCGUAAACGAUAUCAACCAUCAAUCCGUCAAAGCGUUCCCUUGCGUUCUCGUGGUCUGGCUUCGCGGCCGGCCUCGGGAGCAAAGUGUAAGCGCUUGAUGGGCAGCUCUUCUAUCACGGGAAACCAGAGUGUUUCGGUUCCGGGGGGAGUCUGGUUGCAAAGCUGAAACUUAAAGGAAUUGACGGGAAAGGCACCACCAGGCGUGGAGCUUGCGGCUCAAUUUGACUCAACACGGGAAAUCUCACCAGACCCGAACAUCUCUAACGAUUGACAGAUUGAAAGCUCUUUCUUGAUGAAGUGGAUGGUGGUGCAUGGCCGUUCUUAGUUGGUGGAGUGAUCUGUCUGGUUAAUUCCGAUAACGAACGAGACUCUCCCCUGCUAACGGACCUCAGUGUUUUUUUAGACGGUGCGAUUCGGAUAAAGGGACCAUGGGCGUAAGCCCCGGUCUCAGACGACGUCCACUGAUCCUUGGUACGUUGGUGCAGUUCUCGCCGGUGAUGCUCGCCUCCUGUUCCGCUGUUAACCGGCGGGGCGUCUGGUGGUGCGGUGUCGCCGUGUGUGCGCUCACCGACAAAGUGCCUCGGAGUACGUUUCUUCUUAGAGGGAUUGACGACAUAUAAGUCGUAAGAAACAGGGAGCAAUAACAGGUCUGUGAUGCCCUUAGAUGUUCUGGGCUGCACGCGUGUUACAAUGCCGGUAUCAACGGGUUCUUACACUUUCAGUGGCCUACUCCGAAAGGAGCGGGUAAACCUUUGAAAUACCAACUGCAUACUUACCUCGUGUAAGGCGCAAUUACGGCAUGCUUGGGACUGGGGAUUGCAAUUAUUCCCCACGAACUAGGAAUGCCUUGUAGUGGCGGGUCACAGAACCCGCUGCGAAUCUGUCCCUGCCCUUUGUACACACCGCCCGUCGCUACUACCGAUUGAGUGUACCAGUGAGAUUUUUGGACUGGCGAACCGCGUUCCUCUAGGGGCUCGCGGCGUACGACAAUAAGAGACUCGAACUGGUGCACUUAGAGGAAGCAAAAGUCGUAACAAGGUUUCCGUAGGUGAAC